CAGAGACUGCAAGCGUUAUUCGGAUUCACUGGGCGUAAAGGGUGCGCAGGCGGCCAAGUGUGUGAGGCGUGAAAGCCCGGGGCUUAACUCCGGAAUUGCACCUCAAACUACAUGGCUAGAGCAUUGGAGAGGGUAGCGGAAUUCACGGUGUAGCAGUGAAAUGUGUAGAUAUCGUGAGGAACACCAGAGGCGAAGGCGGCUACCUGGACAAUUGCUGACGCUCAGGCACGAAAGCGUGGGGAGCAAAAGGGAUUAGAUACCCCUGUAGUCCACGCCCUAAACGGUGCACACUAGGUCUUGGCGGAUUCGACCCCCCCAGGGCCCAAGCUAACGCGUUAAGUGUGCCGCCUGAGGACUACGGCCGCAAGGCUA
Molecule: ribosomal RNA, 372 nt
Filed under: uncultured organism
Description: bacterial SSU rRNA
Rfam family: Bacterial small subunit ribosomal RNA
Source: RNAcentral